Molecule: ribosomal RNA, 429 nt
Filed under: Actinomycetes bacterium
Lineage: Bacteria; Bacillati; Actinomycetota; Actinomycetes
Description: Actinobacteria bacterium partial 16S ribosomal RNA
Rfam family: Bacterial small subunit ribosomal RNA
Source: RNAcentral
UAGGGAAUCUUCCGCAAUGGGCGAAAGCCUGACGGAGCAACGUCGCGUGAGUGAUGAAGGUCUUCGGAUCGUAAAACUCUGUUAUUAGGGAAGAACAAAUGUGUAAGUAACUAUGCACGUCUUGACGGUACCUAAUCAGAAAGCCACGGCUAACUACGUGCCAGCAGCCGCGGUAAUACGUAGGUGGCAAGCGUUAUCCGGAAUUAUUGGGCGUAAAGCGCGCGUAGGCGGUUUCUUAAGUCUGAUGUGAAAGCCCACGGCUCAACCGUGGAGGGUCAUUGGAAACUGGGAAACUUGAGUGCAGAAGAGGAAAGUGGAAUUCCAUGUGUAGCGGUGAAAUGCGCAGAGAUAUGGAGGAACACCAGUGGCGAAGGCGACUUUCUGGUCUGUAACUGACGCUGAUGUGCGAAAGCGUGGGGAUCAAACAGG